CUUAACACAUGCAAGUCGAGCGGUAGCACAGGGGAGCUUGCUCCCUGGGUGACGAGCGGCGGACGGGUGAGUAAUGUCUGGGAAACUGCCUGAUGGAGGGGGAUAACUACUGGAAACGGUAGCUAAUACCGCAUAACGUCGCAAGACCAAAGAGGGGGACCUUCGGGCCUCUUGCCAUCAGAUGUGCCCAGAUGGUAUUAGCUAGUAGGUGGGGUAAUGGCUCACCUAGGCGACGAUCCCUAGCUGGUCUGAGAGGAUGACCAGCCACACUGGAACUGAGACACGGUCCAGACUCCUACGGGAGGCAGCAGUGGGGAAUAUUGCACAAUGGGCGCAAGCCUGAUGCAGCCAUGCCGCGUGUGUGAAGAAGGCCUUCGGGUUGUAAAGCACUUUCAGCGAGGAGGAAGGUGGUGGACUUAAUACGUUCAUCAAUUGACGUUACUCGCAGAAGAAGCACCGGCUAACUCCGUGCCAGCAGCCGCGGUAAUACGGAGGGUGCAAGCGUUAAUCGGAAUUACUGGGCGUAAAGCGCACGCAGGCGGUUUGUUAAGUCAGAUGUGAAAUCCCCGGGCUCAACCUGGGAACUGCAUUUGAAACUGGCAAGCUAGAGUCUCGUAGAGGGGGGUAGAAUUCCAGGUGUAGCGGUGAAAUGCGUAGAGAUCUGGAGGAAUACCGGUGGCGAAGGCGGCCCCCUGGACGAAGACUG
RNAcentral lists this ribosomal RNA (706 nucleotides) under uncultured Enterobacterales bacterium. RNAcentral describes it as "bacterial SSU rRNA". It matches the Rfam family "Bacterial small subunit ribosomal RNA", at positions 47 to 742 of the family's 1533-position model. The record is from RNAcentral. Lineage: Bacteria; Pseudomonadati; Pseudomonadota; Gammaproteobacteria; Enterobacterales.